RNAcentral lists this long non-coding RNA (553 nucleotides) under Cucumis sativus (cucumber). Its description in RNAcentral is "long non-coding RNA (CSAT_LNC000291)". Lineage: Eukaryota; Viridiplantae; Streptophyta; Magnoliopsida; Cucurbitales; Cucurbitaceae. The record is from RNAcentral.
UUUUCCCUCGCCACCAUCUACACAACCUCCAGUCUACUGCCCACGAUCCCCAUAUCCACCAUCUCCUCCAUCCUUCUCCCCAUAUCCACCAUCUCCUCCAUCCUUCUCCCCAAACCCACCUCUCACUCACCCCAACUCCCCUCCACCGCCAUCACCGCCGGUACCUGUUCAUUCUCCCCCUCCCCCUCUUCAUACAACCCCAUCGCCGCUUCCUCUUCCUUGCAUUCAACCUCCUCCACCAAAUGUUCAAUAUCCAGAACCGCCACCCUCUCCUUCACCAACCCCGUCAUCUCCAAUUCACUACAAUACCCCACCACCGCCGGUCCAUUACCAAGCUCCUCCCUCACCUUCACCGCCCGUCCACAUAUAUCCGCCGCCAUCUCCAACGCCCCCUCCUCCAAUAGUUUACGAAAACCCACCACCGCCCGUUGUCUACCAAAGCCCACCGCCGCCUCCAACUCCAGUAUACGGAGGCCCACUGCCACCAAUCUACGGAGUUCCGUACGCCUCUCCUCCUCCACCACCCUUCUAUUAGUUAUUUCAUCUUUCCGGC